Long non-coding RNA from Protopterus annectens (West African lungfish), 1614 nucleotides. RefSeq lists it as uncharacterized. Lineage: Eukaryota; Metazoa; Chordata; Ceratodontiformes; Protopteridae. The transcript has 2 exons. The record is from RefSeq and is a predicted model, not a curated record.
CUGUGUCUGCAAAGUAAACACCUUAACCAUUAUGCCACCCUCCCACCCUACUAAAACACAUUUCUAAUACAAGAACAAUAGUCAAAAGAACCUGUUUUGGUUGAAACCUAGCCAAGAUACAAGACCUUAUGUUUCAUUAAUUCUGAUCUUUGUCUCCAAAACUAUUACAAUCAUGGGGGGGGGGGGUUGGGUUGAGUGUCAAUUUCCCAAGGAAUCCUAGACUUUUAAUAAGGUUGGAAAUUCUGUAGAACAUCUCUAACUUGCUUUCUGAUUCCAUUAAUUCAAAGUCAUUAACUGUUGAUUGGACACUAAGGUACAUAUGUUUUGCUGAAUGCCCAAGCUAGCCCAAAACAAAAUGUGUCUGGAAAAACGCCUCCUAUCUCUUCAGCUGUAAAUAAAACACCAAAACAUAUGCUUUUUAAGACAACUGCCUUCACAAAUGUUAAAAAAAAAUCCUAUUUGAAACUCAAAAGGGAUACUGAUACUUUCACUGGCAGCAUAUCAGGAAUACUAGACUCACUCAGUUUGCCUUGUCUCCAUACAAUGCAGAAAUCGCAGAGUUAGCACAGUUUCUGGCAUGCAUCAUUUCCUUCAUGCUCCAAUGAUUACCCAAUAUUUGCUCUGUUAAUUUUUUAAUGUCCCCUAUGUCUGCUCAAACUGAAACUUCCUGGACUACACACAUUCAUAACGGGUUAUUUCCACUGAGGGUAUAACAUGGAUAACAACUGGUUGGUCUUCCUUCUACUAUAAUUAAAAUCAACUACUCAUCUGUAAUGUUAAAUCACUGCACUCUGGGGGAAUCUGCUAGAUAAGAAGUGCAAAGCUAUUAUGAAGAGUUUCAGUUCAAAGAGCUGCUCCUGAAAAGAAACCAACACCCACUCCACAAAGUGCGACAGGCAUGGGCAAGGCUUUCACUUUAUCUAAAAAAGUAAUUAAAAUUGGAUACAUGACAUCACCUACAUUUGUCACAUGCUCUCAGGAGAAACAAAUGAUUAUUACUAAUGCAGUCUGAAAAGUCAUUCCCAGCCUGCUAUGAAUACAUUGCUACAAUCAAUGCUUAACAUAGAAUGAAAAAACAAGGGCAUACACAUACUGAAGCUGGACCUUUACCUACAAGGCUUAUCAUCCGAGGACAGCUCCUAAAAGACAAAAUUACCAGAAAAGAAGAACUCAGAAGAAGGAAACCAGAGCUAGUUACUUCAACUUCAGAAUGGCUGUAGGCUCUCCUCCAUUGACAGACAGUGCCUCUCCUGUUUUAGCAGAGUUAAAAGCACGCAUCCUAAAGGAUUACUGGGCCCUAGGGGGACUGGUUGUGAUUGCAAUUUUCUGUGGACUCUUUUUAGCUCUCAUAAUGUUUGCAGCAGUUUUUGGAUGCUGCUCUGGACGUCGACAUAAAAGCACAUCAGAAAUAUCAAGAGAAGAGUGCCAGGGGCAGAGAAAGGUUACCAGACUAUGAAGAAACAAUGUAAAAUAACUUGUGCACCAAGUACACCUCGCAAGGCGGAAUAAAAAUAUGGAAUUCUACCUCCAUGGUGUGUGCUAUGCUAUUUGCAGUGCUUUGCAGUUGUCAAAAAAAAACAAAGGGAUUAUGAAAAAUAAAUACAACUCAGACAA